This 632-nucleotide ribosomal RNA is filed under the name uncultured bacterium. Its description in RNAcentral is "bacterial SSU rRNA". It matches the Rfam family "Bacterial small subunit ribosomal RNA", at positions 190 to 843 of the family's 1533-position model. The record is from RNAcentral.
CGCCGUACGGGGGAAAGAUUUAUCGGGGAUGGAUGAGCCCGCGUUGGAUUAGCUAGUUGGUGGGGUAAAGGCCUACCAAGGCGACGAUCCAUAGCUGGUCUGAGAGGAUGAUCAGCCACAUUGGGACUGAGACACGGCCCAAACUCCUACGGGAGGCAGCAGUGGGGAAUAUUGGACAAUGGGCGCAAGCCUGAUCCAGCCAUGCCGCGUGAGUGAUGAAGGCCUUAGGGUUGUAAAGCUCUUUCACCGGAGAAGAUAAUGACGGUAUCCGGAGAAGAAGCCCCGGCUAACUUCGUGCCAGCAGCCGCGGUAAUACGAAGGGGGCUAGCGUUGUUCGGAAUUACUGGGCGUAAAGCGCACGUAGGCGGACUUUUAAGUCAGGGGUGAAAUCCCGGGGCUCAACCCCGGAACUGCCUUUGAUACUGGAAGUCUGGAGUAUGGAAGAGGUAAGUGGAAUUCCGAGUGUAGAGGUGAAAUUCGUAGAUAUUCGGAGGAACACCAGUGGCGAAGGCGGCUUACUGGUCCAUUACUGACGGUGAGGUGCGAAAGCGUGGGGAACAAACAGGAUUAGAUACCCUGGUAGUCCACCCCGUAAACGAAGAAUGUUAGCCGUCGGGCAGUAUACUGUUCGG